Molecule: ribosomal RNA, 510 nt
Filed under: Aethaliopsis melanospora
Lineage: Eukaryota; Evosea; Eumycetozoa; Physariida; Physaraceae
Description: Badhamia melanospora SSU rRNA
Rfam family: Eukaryotic small subunit ribosomal RNA
Source: RNAcentral
UCUCUCUGAAUCUGCGAACGGCUCCGCAAACCAGUUGUAAACCAUAGCAGGCACGCCUUGGGCCGCCGCAAGGCGGUCCUUGGCUAUAAGGAUAACCCUGGUAAUUCUGAGGCUAAUACAUGAACGUAACCCCCGGCCGACGGGCAACUGGAAGCCGGGGACCGUGCGAGUAGGCGCAACGGUUUAUCGGAGUAGUCGCACAGUACGACCACCAUCCAAACGGUAUCUGCUUCGCUGCCUCACGGCGGCUGGUGGUGUCCGGGUGGCUCUUGCAAGGUGCUUCUGACCUAUCAACUAGAUGGCAGCGUAACGGACAUGCUAUGGUGACAACGGGUACAGAGGAUAAGGGUUCGAUCCUGGAGAGUGGGCCUGAGAGAUUGCUCACACUUCUAAGGAAGGCAGCAGGCGCGCAACGUUCCCCUUGGGCAAAGCUCGAGGGCGUUAGGGGACAUAUGAAUGCCUGCCUUAUGGUGGGCAAUUCAAAUGGGUCUGUUCUAAACAGCCUCUCGA